RNAcentral lists this long non-coding RNA (3060 nucleotides) under Cinara cedri. The record is from RNAcentral. Lineage: Eukaryota; Metazoa; Arthropoda; Insecta; Hemiptera; Aphididae.
CUAUAUUAUCAUUAUACAUUUAUACAUAAUUAUUCAUUUUAUAAACAUUUACAUUUUUUUUUUUUUUAUUUUUUUGUUUUAUUACAUUCAACCUGUCUCAACAUUGCUCGUUUGUUGUCGCAUAAUAUUACGUAGGUAAUUAAAAAAAAAAUCCGAAAAGUGUCUGUUCCAUUGUUAAUUGGCAACAUCUCAAAGGUUUUAUUUUGUCAUUUAUUUUUUCGUUCAUAUACCGGUCAACGAUUAUGACGUAGGUAAACAUUUCACAGGCGUAUUGAAGUUCGACGACAAGAAAGGAAGUUUUCUGUCGGCUCUGCCGUACGUUGAAUUGACCGUUAUUCUCCAAUUUAACGGAUUUAUCGUGUACUGGAAAAGACAAAAAAAUUUGCUCACUAAUACACAUGUAAGGACACAUGAACUAUGAUUUACAUUUUAUUUAUUAAUGUUUUCUUUUCACUCGUGCAUAGGUCAGAAAAAUGUUUAACAGUGCUGCAUUUUUUAGUCAAACCGUUUUCAUGUUUUUCACGGCGCAUAAUACGACAAAACACGGAGCUAUAAUUUGUCUGAUAUUAGCGGUCAGUCUAGAAGGAUUCGUUUGGGAUGGAUUUCAGUAACUAUAUUAUUAAUUGUAUUCUGGCCUACGAUAACCGGUAUAUAAUAGGGGAACAUUAGGUAGAACGAGGAAGCUAAGGUAUAAAUAGGUAGCUAUAAUUCACUCAAAAAUUGUGAUUUUGAUUUAAAAUAUGUACUGUGUAGUUAACAAGAUUUGCAGGUCAUUAACACGUUAACAGGUUUUAAAAAUUGAAUAAAGUCUCAUAAAGUUAAAUAUUAAAAUAUGUUUGAGUGUCAUUUGCCCCAUACCUGGGAUAAAAUAUGAGGCCCCAUCAAUACUAUUUUAUUUUAUUUAUUAUGUAUUUCUUUUAAAGUGAUAGACGAAGUGUAAUUAUAGAAUGGUAAUCAAGAUAGAUGAAUAAAAAUAAAAAAAAAAAAAACAAUUAUUUUUUGAAAAUUGUUAUUUUUUGUUUAAAAAUAAUGUAAUGAAACUAGUUAGGAAAGCCCACCACUCCAUUCUGCGAGUUAAAUUUUCGAUUCGCUUUUUUAAAUGGAUCAAAUUUUGGAUUGGCGUCUUGUAAACUCGAUCUUUGAUAACUCCCCACAUGCUGAAAUCACAAGGUGUGAGAUCGGGUGAUCUUGGGGGCCAUUCCGACGUUCCACGGCGACCAAUUCAGUCGUUGAAGUUUUUAUUCAAAAAAAUCACGAACGAUAACGAACAUGAAACUGCGUCUAAUAGGUUAUGUUGUUUUUUAUAAACCUUCCUGUUGUUGUACGUAAACAAGAUAACGAGACCAAAGUUGCAAUAUGACGUAACGGAAACGACGUGGAGGGAGAAACUGCGCCGUAAUGCGCGUCCCAUACAAGACGGUAGGCGUUUCGCGACUUUUGGCCACCUCUGUAUAAUGUCAAAGUGGUCCAUAUCUUUCUUCAUCAUUAAUAUUUUGAUUUUAUAAUUUUACAAUAAAUAAAUAGCUUUUGUAAUCAAAAAUUAUUUUGCAUAUUUUGUGCAUUUUAAGUGCAUAUUUGAAACUUUUUAAAUGUAUAUUUUUAAAUUUUUAAUACAUAUAAAUCCGGUCUUUACCAAUAACCACACUAUUAUUAUCGAUCAAAUGUUCACUGUUAGUAGUGUUUUGACUUUUUUUGCGUUACGUUCGGAUUUUCUAUAAUAUGUGAAUUAUUAUUUUCUGAAACAUAUAAGGGUAAAUCACGUCUCAUGUAUAAUCAUUAUUAGUAAUAUAUAAUUCGUAAAGAAACAGAAAGUACAAGUUGGCGUUGUCUUAAUGACAAAACUUUCAGGAUUUAUUUUUACGAAGGAUGUACAAUUUUAGAACUCAUAUGAUUACAAAAAGUGUUUAGACAAAGCAUUUUUUGAACAAAUAAGUACUUUAUGGAAAAUUAUAUUAUUACAUGAAAUUUAAUAAGUUCUAUAUUAUGCAAGUUAUUAUAUAAUAUACAGUGUCCUAAAAUGUUUUUUAAAUGUUAAAGAAUCAGUGAAUAUUUAUUAUUUUUUUUUUCAAUCGGGUUUUGUGUUAAAGGGACAGAUAUAUAGAGAGAAAAAUCGAACUAUCUGUGUUUUAUAACCACAGAAAAAAAUAACUAUUUUUUAAAAUUGUCAUAAUAGCCGUAAUAGAAUUUAUUCUACAAUUUGUAUUGUAGGUCUCUACCUACCAAACAUAAUAUACGCAUUCAUAUUGGAUCAACAAUUUUUUAGUAAUAGCCAUUUUAAUUUAUAAUAUUUUCAAUGUCUGACAGAAUACAUAAUUUGUAAUAGGUACAGAGGAAAAUAAAAUAAAAACCCGUUUAUUAUGAUAAGUAGAUAAUAGUUAUCAGUUGACAGUUUUAUUAUCUGGAUUACGAUAGUAAAUUUUGCAUUCUUUGCGUUUUUUCCAUUGAUUUUCCUAAAUUAUUAAAAAGAAAGGUCGGGCAUACUUCGCAGGUGUUUGCAGCCACUGUUAUAGGUGGGAAGUUGAGAAGGUAAGCUACAGACGAAAAUUUAAUGUAUAUCUGUAAACAAAGAUAAACCAUUGCUAACGAAAAAACGAUUCUGAGCAGAGUUCAGUCGAUAAUGUUGCUUUCUCAACAAUACAAUAUGUGGUAUUAUGGUAAAAUUAUUACAACAAUAUGCGUUUCCGUGACAAAAUGAUCGAUUGAAAAAAAUUAAAAUAAUAAAAUCUUAAUAAUAACAAAAAAUAAAGAAAAACGGUUGCUAACCUUAUUUUUAAUCUUUCAAUAUUUUUUAACCUAAAGACCGAGGUUUUCAUCAUUAUCUCGAAUAUUAAUAAGAAUUUCAAAAAAUGACCUCUCUAAAUUACUAUCCACAGAAAAUGUCCUUUCAGAAGAGAUGCUAUAGAGAUGCUUACUUGAUAAUCGGAGUAUGCUGUCUAGUAGAAAAAGUGUUCAUAUAAAAAAAAAAAAUAAACAUUAUUGUAAAACCAAGACAUUCCUCGUUCCACUCAGAAUCUAAAAUACAGGAAAAAUCAAAAAACUACUUCUUACUCGCCAACUAGG